CGAGGAUAGAACGCUGGCGGCGUGCCUAAUACAUGCAAAGUCGGUGCGGAAAGGCCACUUCGGUGGUACUUCGAGCGGCGGACGGCAGAGUAACGCGUAGGAACAUACCCCAAACUGAGGGAUAACUGCUCGAAAGAGUAGCUAAUACCGCAUGUGAUCUUCGGAUUAAAGCUUCGGCGGUUUGGGAAUGGCCUGCGUCCGAUUAGCUUGUUGGUGAGGUAAUAGCUCACCAAGGGCGACGAUCGGUAGCUGGUCUGAGAGGAUGAUCAGCCUGACUGGAACUGAGAACGGUCCAGACUCCUACGGGAGGCAGCAGUAGGGAAUUUUCCACAAUGGGCGAAAGCCUGAUGGAGCAACGCCGCGUGCAGGAUGAAUGCCUUCGGGUUGUAAACUGCUUUUAUUAGUGAAGAAUAUGACGGUAACUAAUGAAUAAGGGUCGGCUAACUACGUG
RNAcentral lists this ribosomal RNA (451 nucleotides) under uncultured bacterium. RNAcentral describes it as "bacterial SSU rRNA". It matches the Rfam family "Bacterial small subunit ribosomal RNA", at positions 31 to 507 of the family's 1533-position model. The record is from RNAcentral.